GUCGAGAAUUUUUCACAAUGGGCGCAAGCCUGAUGGAGCGACGCCGCGUGGGGGAUGAAGGGCUUCGGCCCGUAAACCCCUGUCAUUUGCGAACAAACCUUUCUUGAUAACACCAGGAAAGCUGAUUGUAGCGAAAGAGGAAGGGACGGCUAACUCUGUGCCAGCAGCCGCGGUAAUACAGAGGUCCCAAGCGUUGUUCGGAUUCACUGGGCGUAAAGGGUGCGUAGGUGGUGAGGUAAGUCGGAUGUGAAAUCUCUGAGCUCAACUCAGAAAUGGCAUUGGAAACUACCUCGCUUGAGGAUUGGAGGGGGGACUGGAAUUCUCGGUGUAGCAGUGAAAUGCGUAGAGAUCGAGAGGAACACCAGUGGCGAAGGCGAGUCCCUGGACAAUACCUGACGCUGAGGCACGAAAGCUAGGGGAGCAAACAGGAUUAGAUACCCCAGUAGUCC
This 449-nucleotide ribosomal RNA is filed under the name uncultured bacterium. Its description in RNAcentral is "bacterial SSU rRNA". It matches the Rfam family "Bacterial small subunit ribosomal RNA", at positions 354 to 796 of the family's 1533-position model. The record is from RNAcentral.